GACGAACGCUGGCGGCGUGCCUAAUACAUGCAAGUAGAACGCUGAAGGAGGAGCUUGCUUCUCUGGAUGAGUUGCGAACGGGUGAGUAACGCGUAGGUAACCUGCCUGGUAGCGGGGGAUAACUAUUGGAAACGAUAGCUAAUACCGCAUAAGAGUAGAUGUUGCAUGACAUUUGCUUAAAAGGUGCAAUUGCAUCACUACCAGAUGGACCUGCGUUGUAUUAGCUAGUUGGUGAGGUAACGGCUCACCAAGGCGACGAUACAUAGCCGACCUGAGAGGGUGAUCGGCCACACUGGGACUGAGACACGGCCCAGACUCCUACGGGAGGCAGCAGUAGGGAAUCUUCGGCAAUGGACGGAAGUCUGACCGAGCAACGCCGCGUGAGUGAAGAAGGUUUUCGGAUCGUAAAGCUCUGUUGUAAGAGAAGAACGAGUGUGAGAGNGGAAA
Molecule: ribosomal RNA, 447 nt
Filed under: uncultured bacterium
Lineage: Bacteria
Description: bacterial SSU rRNA
Rfam family: Bacterial small subunit ribosomal RNA
Source: RNAcentral